This 2469-nucleotide small RNA is filed under the name Pan troglodytes (chimpanzee). Its description in RNAcentral is "retained intron". Lineage: Eukaryota; Metazoa; Chordata; Mammalia; Primates; Hominidae. The record is from RNAcentral.
GACCACUCACUGGUGACUGUGGUAAUGUAGUGUCUUAGGUCGUAUGGCCUGUGGCCUAGCCUAGGAAACUUUUCUCCAGUUUUGUUUUUCCUAAAGUAUUUUUGUCAUUUUCCUCUCGUGCUUCACACUGCAUGUCAUUUAAAAAACUUUUUAUUUUAAAAUAAUUUUAGAUUUCCAGAAGAGUUGCAAAAGUAGUGCAUCCAGUUCUCACAGACCUUCCCCCAGAGGCCCCUAAUUGAACAUCCUACACAGCCCCGGCACACUCAUCAAAACUCAGAAACUCCCGUGAGCAGCAUACUCUCAGCUGAAACAAGGGACUUCAUUCAGAUUUCACCAGUUUGCUCACUAAUGUCCUUUUGUGUUACAGCAUCCAAACUAGGAUCCCGCCUUGCAGUUAGUUGUCAUAUCUCCUUCGUCUUCUCCAUAUGUGACAGUUUCUCAGCCUUUUCUUGUAUUUAAUGACCUUGGCAUUUUGAAAUGCAUGUAGUUUUUAUAACAAAACUUUCAGUAUGGCCGGCUCACGCCUGUAAUCCCAGCACUUUGUGAGGCUGAGGUGGGCGGAUCACUUGAGGUCAGGAGUUUGAGACCAGCCUGGUGACCAACAUGGUGAAACCCCAUCUCUACUAAAAAUACAAAAAUUAGCUGGGCGUGGUGGCGGGCGCCUGUAAUCCCAGCUACUCAGGAGGCUGAGGCAGGAGAAUCGCUUGAACCCAGGAGGCGGAGGUUGCAGUGAGCAGAGAUCGCACCACUGCACUCCAGCCUGGGCAACAGAGCGAGACUCUGUCAAAAUAAAAAAUAAAAAAAACACACAACUUUAAAUAGGUACACAUAUGUAAACACAUGCUAGCCUGCUCUCUGGGCUGUUUUCACUGUGUCCUGCGUUCCUCCCUGUUCCUCCUUCGUCUUUCCCUUUCUCUUCCCACUCCCACAACCCUCUCAUUAAAGGCCUCAUCCCCGCCCUCUGCUGAUAACCAAGUGCUGAGUCAGGCCGAGAACAUAAACCAGGCGCUCUGAAUUUCUCCUUCCAGGCUCCCCAUGCUUUCAUUCUGCACCUGAGAAAACCAUUUUAACAUUUUCUGUUCUAGCCUUUAUGUAAUUACCAUUCAUUUCUAUGAGCUAAUUUAAUGUCCUCUUCAGAGUCUAUGGCUGGAAAGUAAUAAUCCUUCAGUUUGAGUAAUAAUAAUAAUCUUUACUACUGUUUUGGCCCAUAACAUCUUAAACACCCAUUCUUGGAACUUGCUACAAAAGUUACUGAAAUUAGUGAGAACCAAUUGAUAUUUCCAGCAUAAAGCUGCUCUGCAUGACAUCUGUAUAACUGCUUUGCAUGUGUGUAUUUUAAUUGUCGUUAUUGCUUGGUAAUAAUUUAUUCAAGAAUUAACAAACUUCAACUUGGGGUUAGAUUUUAGUAGAAUAUUGGGGAGGGUGCAACCGUUUUUUCUUUUUUAAUUCUACCUCUUCCAAAUUUAUUAACUUGUUUCUUUAAGUUCAAAUGGAUACAAUCACAUGCAGACUCUGGCAUGUCUAUGCAUAGGUAAACUUUUUCUCCCCUCACAGUAAGUAAAAUUUCAAGUAAAAUUUUGUGAGCAUAAUGGCCUUAACUCCCUAUAAAACUUCCCUGUUAUAUUUUUUUUUACAUUAACUAACAUUAAUUAUGUGUUUGUUCUAGAACAGUUGUACACCGACCAGUCUUUUGGUUGAUUUGUGGAACUUUUAACUCUUUGGUCUUUUAGAGAAUCCAAGUUCAUAAAAGACGCAGAUGAAGAGAAAGCUUCCUUGCAGAAAUCCAUCAGUAUAACUAGUGCCUUACUCACAGAAAAGGAUGCCGAGCUGGAGAAACUGAGAAAUGAGGUCACAGUGCUCAGGGGAGAAAACGCCUCUGCCAAGUCCUUGCAUUCAGUUGUUCAGACUCUAGAGUCUGAUAAGGUGAAGCUCGAGCUCAAGGUAAAGAACUUGGAGCUUCAACUCAAAGAAAACAAGAGGCAGCUCAGCAGCUCCUCAGGUAAUACAGACACUCAGGCAGACGAGGAUGAAAGAGCCCAGGAAAGUCAGAUUGAUUUCCUAAAUUCAGUAAUAGUGGACCUUCAAAGGAAGAAUCAAGACCUCAAGAUGAAGGUGGAGAUGAUGUCAGAAGCAGCCCUGAAUGGGAACGGGGAUGACCUAAACAAUUAUGACAGUGAUGAUCAGGAGAAACAGUCCAAGAAGAAACCUCGCCUCUUCUGUGACAUUUGUGACUGCUUUGAUCUCCACGACACAGAGGAUUGUCCUACCCAGGCACAGAUGUCAGAGGACCCUCCCCAUUCCACACACCAUGGCAGUCGGGGUGAGGAACGCCCAUACUGUGAAAUCUGUGAGAUGUUUGGACACUGGGCCACCAACUGCAAUGACGACGAAACCUUCUGAUGAAGCCUCCAGUGGAGAACUGGGCUUGCUCAGACGCACUCGCAUUGACACAACGUAACACCAGCAUUG